This 21-nucleotide non-coding RNA is filed under the name Arabidopsis thaliana (thale cress). Lineage: Eukaryota; Viridiplantae; Streptophyta; Magnoliopsida; Brassicales; Brassicaceae. The record is from RNAcentral.
UUACUCCAGCAUCUGAUUUCC